CUCUGGGGUUGUUAGGGAGUUGGAGACCUCACUUCCCACGCAGAGUCCCCGCUCAGUUAGGAGAAGAAACAAGUCCAAAAGACUCAGAGCCUCAGGGUCGGGCUGUGGAGGAAGUGAGUAAAAGUCUGGGAGGGAGGAGCACACACUGAGUGCCCAGAGCACAAAGGUGUCCUUUAGGGAACAGAAACAGCUCAGCCACCAACAGAAAACCAAGGAAAGAGAAAUGAGUUUGGAGCAGGCCUCCCUGGAAGUAAGGCCACGGGUUCAGAGAAGUAGGUUCAAGGACCACCUCAUUCGUCAAGGACAGCCUCAUUCAGAUGAGGAUCAAGGGCAGAUGAGGGGCCUUGGUGGGUGCCAGGUCCGGGGUGAUGGUCCUGGCGGUCAUGGUUUAUCGUUUCAGAGCAGCGUGGACAAGGUUUUGAGCAAAUCAGGUGGCAUCCCAUUUGAAUGGAUUUGUUAUUUGGGGGCAGGACGUGUUCCUGUAAGGAUAUGAAUAGAGAUAAAGGAGGAGGCACAGGAUGCAAAUGGUGUGGGUUGACGUGGGGCGAGGAAGCAUUUACAGCUUCUCAGGAUGUGAGCACCACGUCUGAUUCCUCACCACAAAACCCCACCUCCUCCCCGGACGGCCCCCUGUGGUCAAGAAGAUGGACAAGACGAUGCCCGGUAGUCUUCAGCUGAGCAACUUUUCUGUGACAGAGAAGGCGGCUUGGCGGUGAUGACAUUCAGGGGACAGAUGCUGGCUGCCCUGACAACGCUGUCCUUGGCUGUGUUUUUCUUACCGAAUUGUUUGAAAGUUCAGGUCAAAGGCCCAGAGCCUUCUAGUAUGUUCUCUGUGCUGCAAAUUGAGUCUCUGGUUCAUGGUUGUUGUGGGGAUAUUUCGAAUCAUUGGCCAAGAGGAACAUCUCAGAGCAAGGAGGGACCUUAGAGAUGACGGAACCCGUGGGCACAGCGGCUUGCUUGGGUCCUGCUGGGCAAUCUGUGUCAGAGCUGUGAUGGGGACCCAUCGCCUGGCUUCCAGGCCACAGUGCUUUGCCCCACCCCACAUCAGCUCCCAUCACCAGCCCUGAGAAAUUCUUUCCCCAGACAUAACCCAGAUACUUUUCUUAAUGACCGACUUUGGAUAGUGGCCUCCCUGAGGCAUUUCCCAGACCCCAUCUCAAACGAUGGAUCCCCUUCCUUGAGCCCUUGGCUUGACUGACCGUCCUGCUGCCCUGGCAGGAGCCCUGCACAGCUGGCCCAUUGUCUAGUGGGGAAUCAGCAGGGAACGAAGUACCUGUCCAGGGGGCUGGAUGGCCUGGGACUGUGGCCAAUGAGAGAGGCAGGGCUGAACCUCAGGAGGCUGGCCGCUCGGCAGACAAGAUUCAGAGGAAAACGGUUUUUCUGUUCUCACAAUGGUGGUUCACAGUUUGUGGCUCGCUGCCCAGACUUUUAGCUCAGAGGGAAGACGUACAGGCCAGAUUCGUCCAUAAACGGCCAGUGGUGACAGAAGACCACAUGGCCUGGGAGAGGCAACGCUGAACCAGACCAACCCAGCUCACCCUGCCUGAGGCCAGCCUGAGGCAUUGUGGCCACGGCAAGUUUUUCGACAGGUUCUUCAUCUCCAGAACCGGGAGAGUUGUGCAGUUUCUACACCCUCCUCAUGCGGGAGCACCAAGAUCUGAGCACGCAGCCAGGAGACCAAGGUGCUCCUAACACUGAGCGUGCAAAACACACACAUACCCAGAGGGUGAUAAUGGAAAGCUGGGCGCCAAAGGCAGCUGGGACCUGGCUCACCGUUCCCAGUGUUGAUGACAACCAGGGACGCUGGCUGAGCGCUUCCUCUUUGCCAGGAGCUGCGCAAAGCCCUUCGCUUCCAGAAUCUCUCUGGAGCCCUGUGAGAAGCCUAGAAGGUGGAUCCAAUGAUCAUUUCCAUUUUUCAAACGAGGGCACUGAAGCUCAGAGGAGUUAAGUCACGUCUCCGGAGAUCACACAGCCACCAGGUGGCCAAGCUGGGCUUUGAACCCGACGCUGUUUGCCUCACAGUUGGGUGGUCACACGGUGUCUGCCGCCUGGUCUCCGUGCACUCAGCCGCGGGUCUCCUGUAACACAAGGUGUCUUCAUCAGUCUGUCAACUGAGGCUCUAUUCUCAGAGCUGCUUGGGGACAGAAAAUCCCACCUUGCUACACAAUUUGGCUUACAUUGAAGUCUGUCUGUUUGGGCCCCGACUUCCUUUCUCUCUCCUUUACCCUCGCCUUUCGACUUGGUUUCACUCCUCUCUCAAGAGCGGUGGAGCCUGCCUCCCGCAAACUCCUGAAUGCUGACUCAGCACCAGCACCGGUUGCCGCUUCCCCCAGGGACCACUUGGUUGGCUCUAACUUGCGCCAUAAAAUUGCCUGACCACGUCCCUGUCCCUGAGGGAAAGGGGUGAGCUUAUUGCCCAGGAGUUUCUUGAUAUUGAAAAUAUGCGCUGAGCUCAAAGACCCUCAAGCCAGUUGUUGGGGUCACUGCUUCCCAACUUCAGCUUCAAAAGGCCUGGGGAGGGCUGCCUGCCUGCCCCCUUGGAAAGGACAAUCCGAUUGUAAAUAUCAUCUGCGCUUCGAAGGACGUUCAGACGGUAAUACCCAAGCAAUUACUUUCCUUUCAAGAUCAUUAAACACAAAUCAGACUUGUAUUUUAAUAGGGCUGCCGAUGUUGUUAAUGGUGGGGGUGGCGUCCAGGGUCAGUUUUUUCCUUAAUGGCUGGAUGUUGAUGCUGCCGCCCGCCCCGAGCAGCUUCGCUGGGGGAGGCAGCUCCCUGCUUUGGAGACAUUGCACCGAGAAUCCCUCCCUUCUUCUGCCACACCACCUUCAGAGCGUUUAGGAGGACGGUGACAGCUCCCUCCACCCUCCCCUUGCCCACAGCCUCCCUCCCUCAACUUCUCCCCACCAACACGCAGGCUCCCAGGGCAGUGGUCUCUGAAAGGAAUGAACAGCGGAGGCUCCACUCUCACCACCGGGCUCCCAGCUCCCUUCUAUCUUCCUCCUACUUUAUGGAACAGAGAUGCUGAAAGAUGCUGUCCGGAAGGCCUGGGUCCGCUGCUCACACCCUGGGCAGAGGGACGGGCCUGCAGAGGGAACGGUGGAGCUGCUCUCCUCCUCCGACUCCCCAGUCUCAGAGUGGAACCUCUGAGACCACGGAGGGACAAGCUGCUGCCAGGUGGAAGCUGGGCUCUGAAGUCUGUGGACGGCCCCUGGAAGGACGUGCGCCCGAUGUGCUGACUGCAGAGGUGGGGGGACCAUCCCUCGCCCAGCUCGCCCUGCCACUGCUGUCACCUUGCUGAUGGUGACACAGCAGGACCCCCCUCCACCCGGCACCCAGUGAGUGUGACCCGAGUGGCUGCCCGUGGAGUGAGGUGUCAGGUUCCCCU
Long non-coding RNA from Equus caballus (horse), 3385 nucleotides. Lineage: Eukaryota; Metazoa; Chordata; Mammalia; Perissodactyla; Equidae. The record is from Ensembl.